Molecule: ribosomal RNA, 435 nt
Filed under: uncultured bacterium
Lineage: Bacteria
Description: partial 16S ribosomal RNA
Rfam family: Bacterial small subunit ribosomal RNA
Source: RNAcentral
AGCGAACGCUGGCGGCAGGCUUAACACAUGCAAGUCGAGCGGGCAUCUUCGGAUGUCAGCGGCAGACGGGUGAGUAACACGUGGGAACGUACCCUUCGGUUCGGAACAACUCUGGGAAACUGGAGCUAAUACCGGAUACGCCCUUAUGGGGAAAGGUUUACUGCCGCAGGAUCGGCCCGCGUCUGAUUAGCUAGUUGGUGGGGUAACGGCCUACCAAGGCGACGAUCAGUAGCUGGUCUGAGAGGAUGAUCAGCCACACUGGGACUGAGACACGGCCCAGACUCCUACGGGAGGCAGCAGUGGGGAAUAUUGGACAAUGGGCGCAAGCCUGAUCCAGCCAUGCCGCGUGAGUGAUGAAGGCCUUAGGGUUGUAAAGCUCUUUUGUCCGGGACGAUAAUGACGGUACCGGAAGAAUAAGCCCCGGCUUACUUCGUA